AUGCCCCUCAAACAAAGAAGUCGUACUCUUUACAAAAGUGUGUGGCCAGGGAUUUCUUCCAGACCUUUCAUCAUUCUGCUCCACUAUCUCCAUCUUGCUUGCUCUCGCCUCUUGCAACCAUUGCUGCUAUCAGAAAUAGAGUGAUACAAAGGAAGUGAAAAAUAAAAGCUGAGAAGAGAGAUAGAAAGAAGAGAAGAGAAGAAAGAGGGGUGCAGAAGAUAGAGAGAGAACCACGGAGCCGGCGAGUUUCCGGCGACCGCCUCCGGCACGUGCUCGCCUUCAUCCACAUAGCGGAAGAUGUAGAAACCCUUGGUGGUGUCGGAUUGGUCAACUGAGUGACAGUGGUUCGUAAUUCGCAUGACGAUUCGAGGGUUCAGAGGUGGUAGUGACGAGUUCCGAUGAGUCUAGGUGAUUCCGACAAGGUUAAACCUUACGGCCAACGACAACAAUCGACCGCUGCCAUGCUCACAUCCCUGCAAUUGGCUUUCGCACGUCAGAUUGCCAUGCUGCAUGUUUCUUUCAUUGUUUUGUGUAUUUUUUUCCAGAUUUUAAAGUUUUGUUCUAUGUCUGACAUGUAUUUGCAGAAUUGCAGGUGAAACGUGGGGUUGGUGUAGAAGACUACAUGAAAAUCUUAUUCGAUCCGCAAGGAUAGUACUUGAUGCGUACAGUUACCCGAAAGAUUCAGAGAAGAUCAUGCGACAAACGGGUCUCGCUAGAAGCCAGAUUGCAGACUGCAGACUGGUUUAUAAACGAACGCGUGUGCACGCCUUUGGAAUAAUGGUUGAAAUGUACAAAGAAGAGUUCGGUGAUGAAGAGGUGAACUGUGAAUCUUCACCAGAACAGGCUGCAAGUUUUUGAUUUUGGUUUGGCUUGAUCCACUUUAGAUGAAGAAAGCCAAGAAUGCGAUCUUGAACCAACACUACGUGGGAGGUAUAAACUAGUAUAUAUUAAAACAAAAUUAGUGUGUUAUAGUAACUUUUUCUCUGUUUUUUUACCUUUUCAAGUUUGAUUUUCACCCUUACACUUUAAAUAAUAUGUCUUUGAUUCAAUAGUUUCAUUUUCUUUUUAUAAUUUUCGUUGGUUAGUAAAAAAACAAAAUCCAUGAUAUAAUUUCUUUGAAAAGCAGAGGGAUCGAGCCGGUACCCAACGAAAACAUCAGUACCGGUAUUGUACUAUUAGAACCGUUACUGGUAUUCGUGUAUUAUGGUUUUUAAUCGAUGUAAAAUCUGUGUCGACAUCCUUUAGAACUUAUCACGCUUUUAUUUAUUAAGUUCCCUCUUUCGGUUGCUAUAUCGAGUGUUGAUACCGAAUCAACAUCGAUAAGAUUCCAUACAUUAACAUCAUUUUUACCACUUCAUCUACAUUUCUAUUUAAAUUUAUUAAAAGUCGGACCGCCCCACCGCCGAAUUCCAGCGGGGCCCACUUGUUUAAUCAUAGAUUAAUUAAUUUUUAAAUUUUAAAUGUAUGGAAAUUAAAAACAUGUGGGACGUUGUUGAAGAGGGGUUAUAGUGUAAGCAUGU
RNAcentral lists this long non-coding RNA (1520 nucleotides) under Helianthus annuus (common sunflower). Lineage: Eukaryota; Viridiplantae; Streptophyta; Magnoliopsida; Asterales; Asteraceae. The record is from RNAcentral.